AAUGAAAGAGAUGGACAGACGGAGUACCUGAAAAAACACACCAAAAAAGUAGAAAAGGAAAACGAAGAAACCGAGAGGCUCUCUUUGUUGCUCCUGGAUGUAAAUUCCACCGACUCAGAUCACUGUCUUGGCUAGUAGCGAGAGAUCAGAGAUGGCUGGGCCUCACAGCAGUAGAGAGAUGGCGGUGGCUCCAACAAUUACGAUGUUUAUGGAAAGAGGAUCGCGGAGGAGGCUCCUUCGGAGACGGCAGUGGCUUACAACAGGUGCAAUGCCUCUGGAAAUAGGAUCGCAGAGGCUCCUUCGGAGACGGCUGUGGCUUACAACAAGUAUAAUGCUUCUGGAAAGGGGAUUGCGGAGGCUACUCCCGUGGCUGCCGCUAAACGCCGUCGAGCUGACUUUGAUGACCCUAGCAUCCUUAGUUUCUCAAGUUUUUAUGCUCGUGGGGAUGGAAGAGGAGAAACCCGUGUAAUUGUAGACACUGACCCCAUUGGAGCAUCCUACGAUUUUUACCUCCAGUGCUCGAAAAUGUCGCCUCAUAUUGGGGGAACAUCUGCCCCGUCUGUGGAUGGCGGAUUUAAAGAUCAUCAUGUUGAUCUCAGUGUUACGGGAUCCAAUCCAGCUCUGACUCAGUUUUAUGGGAUCCAAUCCAGCUCAACUCAGUGUUAUGGGAGCCAAUCCAGCAAGAAGAAAGGAUAGCCAAAGCAUGACUUUGCAGGGUGGAAUACCAACAAAUCCUGUUCCAUCUGAUGCUUCCAGGACAUUGUUUGUGCUGGGUUUGCCUUCAGACUGUAGACGGCGGGAAGUUGCUCAUCUGUUUCGCUGCUUUGAAGGCUAUCAAGAAUUGAGACUUAUAAGGAAAGAGCCAAAAUAUCAUGGUGGUGAUCCAUCAGUACUUUGUUUUGUGGAUUUUGUUAGUCCCGCUCAUGCAGCUGUUGUUAAGGAUGCUUUGCAAGGUUACAAAUUUGAUGAGCUUGAUCCUCUUUCUGUCCGUUUGAUAUUGCAAUUUGCUCGUCACCCGGCUGCAAGGUUGGCUGGUGGGUACCGUUGAAAAUGAUGAGGCACUCAGAUUGUGUAAGUUAGAACAGACUCCAGAUGGUGGUUUUCCUGGGAUCAGCUUGAAUCGGGAGAAGGGCAAACUUUUUUAGCUUCCGAGAUUCUCAUGUCAGCUUUGCCGCUGUCGUUGGGAUCAGGCAUAGAAGAUAAACCAAGAAUCGGAAACUGAAUAUCCUUGAAUGUUAGUUUUAAUCAUUUCCUCAGAAAUACCGAAGCUGAUUGGAGUGGGCAAGGUCAGGUCCAACAUAUAUUUGUCAUUUUCACUAAAAGAGUGCUCUCUUGUUAAGACUGCUAGUACGCUGAUUGCUAUCUGUAUUGCAGGAUGGAGAUUAUCGUCUUUACUUGCUGGGAUAGCCUUAUCGGCUUUUCUACCUAGGAAGUUUCUAGGGGCUCUUUUUUGGUGUCUUUGCUUUCUUAUGAUUUCAAGCUGCUUAUAUUCUGGCUGCUUCUAUGCGUUAUAAAUAGAUAUUUAGCAUCAGUAAUCAUGGCACCUCUAAUGAUAGUGCAACACGUGGCUUUCCUUUGGCAGGUGAUGAUGUGCUGUAAAUUUCAGCGCUCUGUUACUUCCGUGGCUUACUUUUGGAUCCAUUCUAGUUACGCGUGUCUGACUUCUCUGAUAUGUUUGGCUGGAGUGCAAGGUAUGGUCCUUCCGCUUAAAGGGUUGUGAUUCCAGUUCAUGUAAUGGGCGACUUCCUGUCAGUUGGAUUAUGUCUGUCUGUCGAGUCUACUUCUGUGUGACGGUUCUCACCUGUUCUUGGAGACAUAGUAACGGUGAUUGUGUGCCUAGGUUUUGGUUUGUUUUGAAUAGGCACUACUGUUCUAAGAUGCGCUCUUGGCUUGCCAAUUUUAUGAGAAACUGCAGUUGUUAAGUUUUGACUGUGAAGUGACUCGUCCACGCGUUGUCUUUGGGUGCAAGAUGCUUUCUGCGAUUAUCCUGGCUGUUGCGUCUCUUGCUUAAAAUUGAGGAGGGUUGCGGAGGGGAGAGGCUGAUUAGAAAUGGAGAAAGUUAAUACAUCGCUUUUGCUUUUGUGAAAGCCGCGGGGGGAAGAAGAAGAAAAAUGCGACAGAGGAAGAAUUGAUCUGAUUUGUGGUUUUAAAGUCCGGUGGUGAGCGGAAUUGUGAUCGGUGGACUGGUUGUUGAAUUGAUCUGAUUUGUGGUUUUAAAGUCCGAGAGUCGACGUGAUUAUUCACUGGUUGGGGUGGUUCCUACUUCCUACAUAUUAUAUGGGUUUAGCAGAAACAUGGAGAGAGAAGAUCUGGAUUUUUUUGGGAGUUGAACCAUUAGAAUCUUCUAAUUAAGAUAUAACAUUAGAACGGUACUGGCUUCUCAUUACAAACCUAAAUCGCCACAUGAGCAUGCUAAUUACGUGGCAUUAAUUAAAAUAUUUUUUUCGACAAUAUUUGGGUCACAGAAACAGUAACCAUACAUAUUUAGUUUAGUUCAAUCAAACCAUCAUAUAUAUAUAUUGUUAUACGAUUUUGGUCA
This is an RNA transcript of Coffea arabica (coffee), 2539 nucleotides long. RefSeq lists it as uncharacterized. Lineage: Eukaryota; Viridiplantae; Streptophyta; Magnoliopsida; Gentianales; Rubiaceae. The record is from RefSeq and is a predicted model, not a curated record.